GCCUUCGUAGCUCAGGGGAUAGAGCAACCCUCUCCUAAAGGGUAGGUCGCAGGUUCGAUUCCUGCCGAGGGCACCA
Molecule: transfer RNA, 76 nt
Filed under: Nocardia sp. SYP-A9097
Lineage: Bacteria; Bacillati; Actinomycetota; Actinomycetes; Mycobacteriales; Nocardiaceae
Also listed under: 3 other names
Description: tRNA-Arg
Rfam family: tRNA
About the family: Transfer RNA (tRNA) molecules are approximately 80 nucleotides in length. Their secondary structure includes four short double-helical elements and three loops (D, anti-codon, and T loops). Further hydrogen bonds mediate the characteristic L-shaped molecular structure. tRNAs have two regions of fundamental functional importance: the anti-codon, which is responsible for specific mRNA codon recognition, and the 3' end, to which the tRNAs corresponding amino acid is attached (by aminoacyl-tRNA synthetases). tRNAs cope with the degeneracy of the genetic code in two manners: having more than one tRNA (with a specific anti-codon) for a particular amino acid; and 'wobble' base-pairing, i.e. permitting non-standard base-pairing at the 3rd anti-codon position.
Source: RNAcentral